This 236-nucleotide ribosomal RNA is filed under the name uncultured bacterium. RNAcentral describes it as "partial 16S ribosomal RNA". It matches the Rfam family "Bacterial small subunit ribosomal RNA", at positions 100 to 334 of the family's 1533-position model. The record is from RNAcentral.
CGGCACGGGUGAGUAACGCGUAUCCAACCUGCCUUACACUCUUGGACAGCCUUCUGAAAGGAAGAUUAAUACAAGAUGGCAUCAUGAGUCCGCAUGUUCACAUGAUUAAAGGUGUUCCGGUAGACGAUGGGGAUGCGUUCCAUUAGAUAGUAGGCGGGGUAACGGCCCACCUAGUCUUCGAUGGAUAGGGGUUCUGAGAGGAAGGUCCCCCACAUUGGAACUGAGACACGGUCCAA